RNAcentral lists this long non-coding RNA (1373 nucleotides) under Sus scrofa (pig). RNAcentral describes it as "lncRNA (ENSSSCG00000043377.1)". The record is from RNAcentral. Lineage: Eukaryota; Metazoa; Chordata; Mammalia; Artiodactyla; Suidae.
GGAUGGUCUCCUGUUAUUAUCUGCUUGAGUGUAUUUUUUUUUUCAUUUUUUGCAAAUGCAAUAUUUGGUUUUGGCUUGUGGUUGCCCUGUUUUUUAAGUAUGCUAACCCCUUCCCAUAAUUGUGUGUUUUAGCCUGAUGGUCCUGUAAGUUCAAACACUUCAUUAUUAUAUUAAAAUUAAGAAGAGAGACAUACAUACAAACAAAAAGGGUUAUUUACCUCCUAACAUCCCUUGCCCACAUUUUAUGGUUUUGAUGACUCUUUUAUUUUUUUCCUUUUUUUUAAUUUUAUUUUGUUUGAAGCAUGUUCAUGAUUAAAUCUGUAUGCUGGCUUAUUUGAGUGACUGCUCUCUGAUUGUAUCUUCCUCAGUCCUAGUUCUUCCUCUUCUUCUUCUUCUUCUUUUUUUUUUUUUUUCUUUUCUUUUUCUUCCCUUUCCUUCCUUUCUUUUUGGUUUAGAGAAGCCCUUUCAAUAUUUCCUUUAACCUGGGCUUUGUGUUGCUGUAUUCUUUAAGUUUUUGUUUGUUGGGAAAAAUUUUUAUUUCCCCUUCUAUUUUAAAUGAUAUUCUUGCUGGAUAAAGUAUUCUAGGUUGCAUAUUUUUUCCUUUGAGCACUUUAAAUAUCUCUUGCCAUUCCCUCCUGGCCUGUAGUGUUUCUGUAGAGAAAUCAGCUGAUAUUCUUAUGGGGGUUCCCUUGUAGGUAACAUUCUGUUUUUCUCUUGCUGCCUUUAGGAUCCUCUCUUUAUCACUAACUUUUGCCAUUUUUAUUAUGAUGUGUCUUGGUGUGGGUCUGUUUGGGUUCAGUUUGUUUGGGGCCCUCUGUGCUUCUUGUAUCUUGAAUCCAGUAUCCUUUAGAUUUGGGAAGUUUCCAGCGAUAAUUUCUUCAAAUAUAUUUUCCAUUCCUUUAUCUUUUUCUACUCCUUCUGGAAUUCCUAUUAUGCGUAGAUUGGCCCGUUUUAUAUUAUCCCAUAGGUCUCUUAUAUUGCUUUCCAGUUUUUUGAUUCGGUUUUCUGUCUGUUGACCAGAUUGAGUGAUUUCCAUUAUUCUAUCUUCCAUAUCACUGAUUCGUUCUUCUGCAUUAUUCAUUCUGGUUUUUACUGCCCCUAGUUCAGUUUGCAUCUCUGCAAAUGAAUGUUCUAGUUUUUCUUGGCUCCUCCUUAUAUUUUCUAGCUCCUUUCUGAGGGUAUCUGCAUUGCUGUUCAUAUCUUCUCUUAAUUCCUUCAGUAUUUUCACUAUUUCUCUUUUGAACUCCAGGUCUGUCAGACUGCAGAGAUCAGUUUCAUUGUUGACUGUUUUAGGUGAGUUCUCCUGUUGGUUUGACUGGGAGUGGUUUCUCAGCUUCUUCAUCUUGCUUGUUGUUUUCUUUCUCCUGAGGGAG